Molecule: non-coding RNA, 1362 nt
Organism: Alligator sinensis (Chinese alligator)
Lineage: Eukaryota; Metazoa; Chordata; Crocodylia; Alligatoridae
Source: the annotation of a RefSeq genome assembly
AUGUGUAAUGGGAGCCACCCUGACACUGUCCUGCACCUUGUGUUGCUUGGCAUGUGCAGUGGCAGUGCCCUCUCCCUGCCAUCGAGCUGGCACCGGUUUUUGUACAGCCAUGUAUCACUGUGGUGGGUGUUCGGAGGAGGAACCCAGCUGACCGUCCUUGGACAGCCAAAGGCCUCUCCUACAGUGCACCUCUUCCCUCCAUCCUCGGAAGAGAUCACCAGCAAGGGCAAGGCCACGCUGGUGUGUCUGAUGGACGGCUUUUACCCCCGGCUCAGUCCUGGUCACCUGGAAAGCUGAUGGCACCACCAUGUCCAGUGGAGUGGAGACCACCAAGCCCUCCAAACAGAACAACAACCAGUACAUGGCCAGCAGCUACCUGUCACUGAGCGCCCCCGACUGGAAGGGCCACGAGACCUACACCUGUCAGGUGACGCACGAUGGGAAGAGCAUCGAGAAGACCCUGAAGCGAUCGGUGUGCUCUUAAUCUCAACCACAGCAAGAGGAAAGGAUUCUCCAAAGGAGUCAGGAUUGUUGAUUUUUUUCCCUAGAAAUUCUUCACCCUAUUUUCUUUGGGUGAUUUUUGCAGAUACCUUUUGAUAUCCACACCCCGUGUCCCCACUGGCCCCACCUCUCUGAAUUCCCUGCAAGUGUGCUUCCUUCCUUAGUAUCUAAUGCAACUUCAGUGCUAAAUCCAGCAAACUUUACCUCUUGCCACACUGAUGAACACCUACGGUUCUGUGCCUCUAACCUGUAGUGUACUAACUUCAAUAUUCAUGUUAUCUCAUAAAAUAAUCUUACCUUUUAUCAACAACUAUGCUUUUGUUGGGGCAUCUCUCUUGCUAGUGGUUUUUAUAUUCCAAUGAAGAUAUAUGGUUCUGUGUUAAAUUUAAUAUUGGGGGUAGGCGGAGUUGCAAUUUUAGUUCAAUCUCCUAGAGAUCAAGAAAGGAAGAGGAAUAAUGGAGAGGGACCACUGGCUUGGCAAGCUGUAACUAUCUUUGUCCUAAGAAUUACCACUCUGCCUCUCAGACAGACCAUAAUAAGGUACAAUUAAUGUGUCUGUGUGACACUUCUCCUUUGUGCGAAUCCUUGAGGGAUUAGGGUCACACUGACUGCCCAUGUAUUUCUGUAGCCAAUCAAGGUGUGCUGGGCUCCUGUUGGCAACUGGCAGCAAAGAGGCAAGAGUUGGUUAAUACUUGGAUGGGACAGUAACCCUGCAGGCAGAUAUCUUAAGAGAAGCCAUGUUACUUAUAUGUGAGACAUAUAAUGAGCAUUAAGCCCUUGACUGCUCUCAGGCAUAGGACAGGUUUCUAACUGGUGCUGCUGUAGGUAUUGAAUCAAUAUGACCCAAGCACUAGAUCAGGG